CCCGCUUCACGUUUUCCUCUGUCGCCCAACCCCUCGCUCUGUACACUGAAUCUCAGUGGUCUCAUUUUCCCCCACGGCUUCAGCUUUACACCAACUAAAUACCCAGAUCCACAUCUUCAGCGCAGCCCUUCCCUGGAGCUCCACGCUUGCCCAUCCAGCGGCCAUUGGGACAGCUCUGCUUCACAUGGAGCUCACUGGGUCCAAACUGGAACUGGUCUUUUCCUUGCGGAUUAAUUCUUCCUCUACCCCAACCCAGCCGGAAGUCUGGGUUCCUGAGAGCCCGAUGCUGGCACAGGAUGGUAAGGGAUUGGGUAAGUCCAUUCACCUCUCUGGGCCUUGGUUGUCGUAUCUGUAAAAGAAGAGGAACCGUACCUGCCCUGAGUGGACGUGAACGUGGGUGUGGAUCUGUGGGCAUGGGGUGGGGGGCGGUAGAGCACUGGGCUGGCCUCCAGAGUGGCUGCUUCCUACUCUCUUUAGGGUUUGCCCUGUUCCUGUCUGUUGUGUAGCAUGGAGCUGAGGGCCAGGAGACCUACUGAGCAUUCAUUUAUUCAACAAUCAAUUACAAAGCACCUAUGGCAUGGCA
RNAcentral lists this long non-coding RNA (583 nucleotides) under Pan troglodytes (chimpanzee). Its description in RNAcentral is "long non-coding RNA NONPTRT007118". Lineage: Eukaryota; Metazoa; Chordata; Mammalia; Primates; Hominidae. The record is from RNAcentral.